Molecule: ribosomal RNA, 513 nt
Filed under: uncultured bacterium
Lineage: Bacteria
Description: bacterial SSU rRNA
Rfam family: Bacterial small subunit ribosomal RNA
Source: RNAcentral
GCCACACGAAGAACCUUACCAGGGUUUGACAUGCAAGUGGUAGAGAAGCGAAAGCGGAACGACCCUUCGGGGAGCUUGCACAGGUGCUGCAUGGCUGUCGUCAGCUCGUGUCGUGAGAUGUUCGAUUAAGUUCGCUAACGAGCGCAACCCUCGUUGCGUGUUACAAGUGUCACGCGAGACCGCCGGUCUUAAACCGGAGGAAGGUGAGGAUGACGUCAAGUCAGCAUGGCCUUUAUAUCCUGGGCUACACACACGCUACAAUGGCCAGUACAAUAGGUAGCCAAACCGCGAGGUGGAGCCAAUCCUAAAAACUGGCCUCAGUUCAGAUUGCAGGCUGCAACUCGCCUGCAUGAAGAUGGAGUUGCUAGUAACCGCAGGUCAGCUAUACUGCGGUGAAUACGUUCCCGGGCCUUGUACACACCGCCCGUCAAGUCAUGGGAGCUGGUAACACCUGAAGCCGGUAGCCUAACCGCAAGGAGGGCGCCGUCGAAGGUGGUGCUGGUGACUGGGACU